RNAcentral lists this ribosomal RNA (253 nucleotides) under uncultured bacterium. Its description in RNAcentral is "partial 16S ribosomal RNA". It matches the Rfam family "Bacterial small subunit ribosomal RNA", at positions 524 to 776 of the family's 1533-position model. The record is from RNAcentral.
UACGGAGGGGGCUAGCGUUGUUCGGAAUUACUGGGCGUAAAGCGCGCGUAGGCGGACCCGCAAGUCGGGGGUGAAAGCCCGAGGCUCAACCUCGGAACUGCCUUCGAUACUGCGGGUCUCGAGUCCGGGAGAGGUGAGUGGAAUUCCUAGUGUAGAGGUGAAAUUCGUAGAUAUUAGGAAGAACACCAGUGGCGAAGGCGGCUCACUGGCCCGGUACUGACGCUGAGGCGCGAAAGCUAGGGGAGCAAACGGG